AUUGAACGCUGGCGGCAUGCCUUACACAUGCAAGUCGAACGGCAGCACGGACUUCGGUCUGGUGGCGAGUGGCGAACGGGUGAGUAAUGUAUCGGAACGUACCUUUCAGUGGGGGAUAACGUAGCGAAAGUUACGCUAAUACCGCAUAUUCUGUGAGCGGGAAAGCAGGGGAUCGCAAGACCUUGCGCUGAUUGAGCGGCCGAUAUCAGAUUAGCUAGUUGGUGAGGUAAAGGCUCACCAAGGCGACGAUCUGUAGCGGGUCUGAGAGGAUGAUCCGCCACACUGGAACUGAGACACGGUCCAGACUCCUACGGGAGGCAGCAGUGGGGAAUUUUGGACAAUGGGCGCAAGCCUGAUCCAGCCAUGCCGCGUGAGUGAAGAAGGCCU
RNAcentral lists this ribosomal RNA (387 nucleotides) under uncultured bacterium. Its description in RNAcentral is "bacterial SSU rRNA". It matches the Rfam family "Bacterial small subunit ribosomal RNA", at positions 30 to 417 of the family's 1533-position model. The record is from RNAcentral.